Molecule: ribosomal RNA, 253 nt
Filed under: uncultured bacterium
Lineage: Bacteria
Description: partial 16S ribosomal RNA
Rfam family: Bacterial small subunit ribosomal RNA
Source: RNAcentral
UACGAAGGGGGCGAGCGUUGUUCGGAAUUACUGGGCGUAAAGCGCGUGUAGGCGGCUCUUCAAGUCAGACGUGAAAGCCCCGGGCUUAACUCGGGAACUGCGUUUGAUACUGUCGAGCUAGAGUGUGGAAGGGGCGAUUGGAAUUCCGUGUGUAGCGGUGAAAUGCGUAGAUAUCGAGAGGAACACCUGCGGCGAAGGCGGGUUGCUGGGCCGACACUGACGCUGAGGCGCGAAAGCCAGGGGAGCGAACGGG